UACAGAGGUCCCGAGCGUUGUUCGGAUUCACUGGGCGUAAAGGGUGCGUAGGCGGUCGGGUAAGUCUGAUGUGAAAUCUCGGAGCCCAACUCCGAAACGGCAUUGGAUACUAUUCGGCUCGAGGUUGGGAGGGGGGACUGGAAUUCUCGGUGUAGCAGUGAAAUGCGUAGAUAUCGAGAGGAACACCAGUGGCGAAGGCGAGUCCCUGGACCAAUCCUGACGCUGAGGCACGAAAGCCAGGGGAGCAAACGGG
RNAcentral lists this ribosomal RNA (253 nucleotides) under uncultured bacterium. Its description in RNAcentral is "partial 16S ribosomal RNA". It matches the Rfam family "Bacterial small subunit ribosomal RNA", at positions 524 to 776 of the family's 1533-position model. The record is from RNAcentral.